GACGAACGCUGGCGGCGUGCCUAAUACAUGCAAGUCGAACGCAGUGGGGACGGGUGAGUAACACGUGGGUAACCUCCCAUCAGAGGGGAUAACACUGGGAAUAAGGGGUUAAACCGAUACUGAUGGAUGGACCGGCGGUGCAUGGGCGAGUUGGUGAGGGAACGGCUGACCAAGGCCACGCUGCAUAGCCGACCGGAGAGGUUGACCGGCCACACUGGGACUGAGACACGGCCCAGACUCCUACGGGAGGCAGCAGUAGGGAAUCUUCGGCAAUGGACGAAAGUCUGACCGAGCAACGCCGCGUGAGUGAAGAAGGUUUUCGGAUCGUAAAACUCUGUUGUUAGAGAAGCGGUAUCUAACCAGAAAGCCACGGCUAACUACGUGCCAGCAGCCGCGGUAAUAC
Molecule: ribosomal RNA, 403 nt
Filed under: uncultured bacterium
Lineage: Bacteria
Description: partial 16S ribosomal RNA
Rfam family: Bacterial small subunit ribosomal RNA
Source: RNAcentral